UACGAAGGGGGCUAGCGUUGCUCGGAAUCACUGGGCGUAAAGGGCGCGUAGGCGGCGUUUUAAGUCGGGGGUGAAAGCCUGUGGCUCAACCACAGAAUUGCCUUCGAUACUGGUUGGCUUGAGACCGGAAGAGGACAGCGGAACUGCGAGUGUAGAGGUGAAAUUCGUAGAUAUUCGCAAGAACACCCGUGGCGAAGGCGGCUCUCUGGAACGCAACUGACGCUGAGACGCGAAAGCGUGGGGAGCAAACAGG
This 253-nucleotide ribosomal RNA is filed under the name uncultured bacterium. RNAcentral's name for it is "partial 16S ribosomal RNA". It matches the Rfam family "Bacterial small subunit ribosomal RNA", at positions 524 to 776 of the family's 1533-position model. The record is from RNAcentral.